UUUGAAGGGGGCACCUGCAUCCAGCUAUGCCGCGUGAGUGAAGAAGGCCUUCGGGUUGUAAAGCUCUUUUGUCAGGGAAGAAACACCGGCUCUAACACAGUCCGGGAAUGACGGUACCUGAAGAAUAAGCACCGGCUAACUACGUGCCAGCAGCCGCGGUAAUACGUAGGGUGCGAGCGUUAAUCGGAAUUACUGGGCGUAAAGCGUGCGCAGGCGGUUAUACAAGACAGGCGUGAAAUCCCCGGGCUUAACCUGGGAAUGGCGCCUGUGACUGUAUAGCUAGAGUGUGUCAGAGGGGGGUAGAAUUCCACGUGUAGCAGUGAAAUGCGUAGAUAUGUGGAGGAAUACCAAUGGCGAAGGCAGCCCCCUGGGAUAACACUGACGCUCAUGCACGAAAGCGUGGGGAGCAAACAGGAUUAGAUACCCUGGUAGUCCACGCCCUAAACGAUGCUGACUAGUUGUUCGGGAUUUACAUCCUGAGUAACGUAGCUAACGCGUGAAGUCAGCCGCCUGGGGAGUACGGUCGCAAGAUUAAAACUCAAAGGAAUUGACGGGGACCCGCACAAGCGGUGGAUGAUGUGGAUUAAUUCGAUGGCACGCGAAAAACCUUA
This 611-nucleotide ribosomal RNA is filed under the name uncultured bacterium. Its description in RNAcentral is "bacterial SSU rRNA". It matches the Rfam family "Bacterial small subunit ribosomal RNA", at positions 363 to 973 of the family's 1533-position model. The record is from RNAcentral.